RNAcentral lists this ribosomal RNA (253 nucleotides) under uncultured bacterium. RNAcentral describes it as "partial 16S ribosomal RNA". It matches the Rfam family "Bacterial small subunit ribosomal RNA", at positions 524 to 776 of the family's 1533-position model. The record is from RNAcentral.
UACAGAGGUCUCAAGCGUUGUUCGGAUUUAUUGGGCGUAAAGGGUGCGCAGGCUGUGUGGUAAGUUUGGUGUGAAAUCCUGGGGCUCAACCCCAGAAUUGCACUGAAUACUGCCAUGCUAGAGGACUGGAGAGGAGAUUGGAAUUCACGGUGUAGCAGUGAAAUGCGUAGAUAUCGUGAGGAAGACCAGUGGCGAAGGCGAAUCUCUGGACAGUUCCUGACGCUCAUGCACGAAGGCUAGGGGAGCAAACGGG